GAUGUCCUAUCAAGGUUAGCCCAACUGGAAGAAUUGUACAUGGGGAAAAGCUUUGUUCAAUGGGAGGGUGAAGGACACGAUGAAGGAAGAAACAAUGCCAGCCUGUCCGAAUUGAAACUUUUGUCAAAGCUGUCCACGUUAGAGGUACAUAUCAAAGAAGCAAAUAUCAUGCCCAAAGAUUUAUUUUCUGAAAAACUGAAAAGAUUUAGAGUUUUCAUCGGAGAUGUGUGGGAUUGGAGUGGUAAGUACAAAACCUCAAGAACGUUGAAACUCAAGCUUAGUACAAGCGCUCUGUUGGAGAGGGUAAGAGUGCUGCUGAUGAAAACUGAAGAUCUAUAUUUGGACGACAUGAAGGGAAUAAGUAGUGUUCUGCCUGAAUUAGACAAUCAAGGUUUUCCUCAGUUGAAGCAUCUCCAUGUUCAAAAUAGCCCUGAUAUUCAAUAUAUCAUAGAUUGGAAGAUAACAGGCCGUUCCACUGCUUUUCCAAGGUUGGAGUCAUUAUUUCUUCACAAUUUGAAUAAACUGGAGAAAAUCUGUCAUGGGUCUUCUGUGGUAGGGUCUUUUAACAAUUUAAGAAAAUUGAUGGUGUGGAAUUGUACUGUAUUAAGAAGUCUCUUUUCAUUCUCUAUGUUU
This 633-nucleotide unclassified non-coding RNA is filed under the name Hevea brasiliensis (rubber tree). Lineage: Eukaryota; Viridiplantae; Streptophyta; Magnoliopsida; Malpighiales; Euphorbiaceae. The record is from RNAcentral.